This is a long non-coding RNA of Neopsephotus bourkii (Bourke's parrot), 1774 nucleotides long. RefSeq lists it as uncharacterized. The record is from RefSeq and is a predicted model, not a curated record. The transcript is spliced from 3 exons. NCBI's taxonomy places the organism in Eukaryota, Metazoa, Chordata, Aves, Psittaciformes, Psittacidae.
CUUUGCAAAUGCAAAGGAUUUGAGUAUAUUUGCCCAUGAAAGUGUUUGUAUCCUCAGGUCUUUGGUUAUUGAACAGCCAGUCUUCUGCUAAUAGAACAUGCAAAAUAGGUCAGACAAGAGCCCAGUGCCAUCUCAAUGAUUCUCCAGUUUUUCUGUGUCCCUUGAAGCAAAGGAGAGUAUGAAAAGAUCUGAUUUUCAUUUUCAUAGGAGUUUUUGUUUUAUCAAAUACAUCCACCUCGGUUGUGAAAAGUUGGCUGAAGCAAGAAAGAACAGUUGAAUAUUUGUGCUUUCAAAUAGAAUUUCGCCAAAAAGUGUCACUACAACUCACUUGUACCAGGGACGAUCCUUUGCAACCUUAGCAAGGUCCAUAGAGUGCAGCAGAGAGCAAUGCAGAGGAAAACAAACCAGUAGAAAGUACAGGUACACAAAGUACAACUGGAGAGGCCCCCAGUGAGGAUCGGUAUUGUAUGCUGGUGAUCUACAAAGAAACCAGUUUAAAUAUAACUUGGACAUCUAUCACAGGACAUAGGCUUCCUUCAAAUUGACUCUGUCCAUUCUUUUCACUUAUAGUCCCUGACCAUUGGACUGCUGUGGUUUAAUUGUGUCCAAGAUCCAAGAUACUGCUCGGAUUGUUCUGCAAUAAAUUCUUCAGAUUCAGCAGGAGGGAGCCCAUAGAUGUUAAAGUAACCCCAUCCCUGCAGCCAGUGGUGCCACCGCUUUAAAGAAAGGAUUCUUUCUUCUGGAUCAAUCGGGGUUUUCCCAACAGCCAGCCCUGUUGUACAGGUGAUGUUUUGGAUGUGUGCCUGUUCUCUACACUUGCCUUUGAUUGCUUUCUUCUUUAUAGUUCUUUUCCUGCUAACUUCUUAAUGCCUUGCAGAAGGCAUUGGUUUUAUUAUGUGUCUGCCCUUGCAGUCCUCGCUCACAAAAAUGCUUCACCACAGUAUGCCCUUUUAUACCUUAGUCAUUCUUUCUUACUGCUGUACAGAGGGCAUAGCCAACCCUGGGAAAUCGCUUUCUGUGGCAUGCUGAUGUAUUGUGCUUAAUGUAUUAUCAACAAGGACAAGUCUGCCUCAGGCAACUCCAGCAACCCAAAAAGCAUGGGGAUUUUUUUAUACAGCAGCUCUUUUAAAAAGAAGUGCAUAUCUGAUGCAGAGAAACUUUUUCCUUUGGUUUCCUGCAGGUAAAAGCAGCAGUUGAUGCUAUGCAGAAAGACAAGCCAACAAGACAUUGCUCAGGUGAAACAAAGUGGAAAGAAACUAUGGUGAAUUUCAUUAGUACUGUCCAUUCGCAUAACAUUGCAGAGAACUUCAUGCAGCACCUAGGAGAAAACAUGUUCUAGAAGGGAUUCUAUUGUCAUCCCAGCACCAAAAGAGUAUUUUCCCUGAGCUCAUCAGUCAGGAUGAGUAGCAUCACGCCUUCACAGAUGUGCUCAGGAGGAACCUUCUACGACAGCUUCUCAAAGUGCUUUAUCUUUUUGCUGACAAAUGGGUGCCAGGGUCAGAACUUAAUGAAGUCUUCAGAGAAAAUUUUGCAAUGAAUUAGGGAAUCUCAAAGGUUUCCUGCCUGACAUUCCAAAAAACUGAGGUCAGGUGGGCAAUGGCCUGGAGUAAUUUACAGUUCGUGUCCCACUGAUAUCUUCAGACGUGAAAGCUGCUUGAGCACCUCUGCUAAUGCUCCUCAAGAAAAUUACCUGGACAAUUAAGCAUGGAAGUCAAGAUAGAAUGCCAGUGGUUGUUUCCCUCUGCACUGUGGAGCUGGAUUCAUGUCAGCAAGU